Molecule: ribosomal RNA, 263 nt
Filed under: uncultured bacterium
Lineage: Bacteria
Description: partial 16S ribosomal RNA
Rfam family: Bacterial small subunit ribosomal RNA
Source: RNAcentral
GUCCACGCCGUAAACGAUUGGUGCUAGGUGUGGGCGGUGUCGACUCCGUCCGUGCCGAAGCUAACGCAUUAAGCACCCCGCCUGGGGAGUACGGCCGCAAGGCUAAAACUCAAAGGAAUUGACGGGGGCCCGCACAAGCAGCGGAGCAUGUGGUUUAAUUCGACGCAACGCGAAGAACCUUACCUAGGCUUGACAUGCACUGGAAUGUCGUGGAAACACGGCAGCCCUUCGGGGCUCGUGCACAGGUGGUGCAUGGCUGUCGU